This 476-nucleotide ribosomal RNA is filed under the name uncultured organism. RNAcentral describes it as "partial 16S ribosomal RNA". It matches the Rfam family "Bacterial small subunit ribosomal RNA", at positions 330 to 797 of the family's 1533-position model. The record is from RNAcentral.
CGUACACUCCUGCGGGAGGCAGCAGUGGGGAAUUUUGGACAAUGGGCGAAAGCCUGAUCCAGCCAUGCCGCGUGCAGGAUGAAGGCCUUCGGGUUGUAAACUGCUUUUGUACGGAACGAAACGGCCUUUUCUAAUAAAGAGGGCUAAUGACGGUACCGUAAGAAUAAGCACCGGCUAACUACGUGCCAGCAGCCGCGGUAAUACGUAGGGUGCAAGCGUUAAUCGGAAUUACUGGGCGUAAAGCGUGCGCAGGCGGUUAUGUAAGACAGUUGUGAAAUCCCCGGGCUCAACCUGGGAACUGCAUCUGUGACUGCAUAGCUAGAGUACGGUAGAGGGGGAUGGAAUUCCGCGUGUAGCAGUGAAAUGCGUAGAUAUGCGGAGGAACACCGAUGGCGAAGGCAAUCCCCUGGACCUGUACUGACGCUCAUGCACGAAAGCGUGGGGAGCAACCAGGAGUAGAUACCCUUGUAGUCCCA